AUAUGUAAAUAGCAAGCCCAUUGAAAAAUGGAGUACGCAAAACUAUAGGGUCUAAGCUUGUUGAAGUAGGAUAGCCAGUUGCCAAU
Molecule: regulatory RNA element, 86 nt
Organism: Coprobacillus sp.
Lineage: Bacteria; Bacillati; Bacillota; Erysipelotrichia; Erysipelotrichales; Coprobacillaceae
Rfam family: c-di-GMP-I riboswitch aptamer
About the family: GEMM was predicted in a large-scale screen for bacterial structured RNA regulatory elements. Genes associated with GEMM are involved in a diverse array of functions, including chemotaxis regulation, signal transduction, secretion and chitin.
Source: Rfam